Physcomitrium patens is the source of this 1306-nucleotide non-coding RNA. Lineage: Eukaryota; Viridiplantae; Streptophyta; Bryopsida; Funariales; Funariaceae. The record is from RefSeq and is a predicted model, not a curated record.
CUAAACUUUUUACACAACAAGCAAGCAUGACUUAAGUUAUUCAUUCUUGUUAAAUUAAGCCGUUUAACAAAUGCAUAUUUACAAAAGAUAUCAAAUUUUGUGAAUGUUUUGAGAAAAGAAGACUAUUAAAUAUAUUGUUAAGAGUUUUAUUUUAUUUUAUUUUAAAUUAAUCAUAUUUUGAAAUAUUAUUAACAUUGUUUUAAGGUUCAUUGGGGUUACUUUCAUCUUUUCAAAAUGUUACUACAACAAUUUAGUUACAUAUGCAAUUUCCACUCUAUUGUUCCAAUGUACAUUAGAAAGCUUACAUUCCAGGAAAAGGAAAAAAAAAGAAAAAAAAGAAAAAAGAACUUUCAUUGUUUAUACAUUAUUAAAGCUGAAUGUGCAACAACAAAUUACAGUGUAAUUAAAAGCAUCAAAAUCGAGUUUUGUUGAAGAGUAAAUCAUGUAAUGUUGAAUUUUUAUCUUAUAAUAGGAGCACAAUUAUUUUAUCUAUAAAUAAAUCCAAUCAAGUUCUACAAUAAAUGAAUUAUUGAUGCUUAAAAGCUAUUAAAACCUUCUCACACUUCGAUGUUAGCCUAACCAUGCCAAUGAAAGAUUCAACAUAUUUAAAUGUUAUUCAAAUGUUAUUCAAAUUCUGAAUUCUAAUUAAGUUACAUUUGUAACUAUCUUUACAAAAUAACCAAUUGGGGUUCCUGUCUUUUUCUUUUCCUUUCUUUUUUUAGAGCAUUGAAGUGUAUGAAAUAUUCUACAAAUUUUGGAUUAAAUGAUAUGUAAAUUUAAUACACACAUUUAUUCAUAUUUAUUUUUUUAAAAAAAACCUAAAAAAUCUAAUCAGUGCAAUGAGUUUCAGUUGUGAUACUUUAUCAAACAAACAAGCCAAUCGUUAAAUUCAACUGUACCUUCAGCAAUGACUCCAAUUAGGCCAAGCAUCAUGAAUAGGCGCAUAACUGCAACCUCAUUAAAAAACACACAAAAUGAAGAUAAGGAAUUCAAAGACCAACUUCGAGUGUUGUAUGGCAAACAAGAACGGUUUGCGAAGAAAAGGGAACAUAUCCAGAAAACUGUGUCUCCCAAGCGGGAUGAUGUAAUUAAUAGUCGACAAGAAAUGCGAAAUGCAAUGGAAGACCAAUUGAACCAAAAAUGCAGAACCAACAAAUUGCUUCAAAAAGAGGAGCAAAACAAAGCACACUAUGAAGUUUACUACAACAAGUAUUGUGGACCUCAUAAUCUGGAGGCAACACACAAUCAAAUUUACAAGAAAAAAGAAUAUCUGAAGCAACUAAUGGAAGAAAAUCGACAAGCUACA